AACUGAAGAGUUUGAUCAUGGCUCAGAUUGAACGCUGGCGGCAGGCUUAACACAUGCAAGUCGAGCGGGGGAAGGUAGCUUGCUACUGGACCUAGCGGCGGACGGGUGAGUAAUGCUUAGGAAUCUGCCUAUUAGUGGGGGACAACAUCUCGAAAGGGAUGCUAAUACCGCAUACGUCCUACGGGAGAAAGCAGGGGAUCUUCGGACCUUGCGCUAAUAGAUGAGCCUAAGUCGGAUUAGCUAGUUGGUGGGGUAAAGGCCU
RNAcentral lists this ribosomal RNA (262 nucleotides) under Acinetobacter baumannii ABNIH17. Its description in RNAcentral is "partial 16S ribosomal RNA". It matches the Rfam family "Bacterial small subunit ribosomal RNA", at positions 1 to 266 of the family's 1533-position model. Lineage: Bacteria; Pseudomonadati; Pseudomonadota; Gammaproteobacteria; Moraxellales; Moraxellaceae. The record is from RNAcentral.